This 301-nucleotide ribosomal RNA is filed under the name uncultured bacterium. RNAcentral's name for it is "partial 16S ribosomal RNA". It matches the Rfam family "Bacterial small subunit ribosomal RNA", at positions 509 to 807 of the family's 1533-position model. The record is from RNAcentral.
CAGCCGCCACGGUAAUACGUAGGUGGCAAGCGUUGUCCGGAAUUAUUGGGCGUAAAGGGCUCGCAGGCGGUUUCUUAAGUCUGAUGUGAAAGCCCCCGGCUCAACCGGGGAGGGUCAUUGGAAACUGGGAAACUUGAGUGCAGAAGAGGAGAGUGGAAUUCCACGUGUAGCGGUGAAAUGCGUAGAGAUGUGGAGGAACACCAGUGGCGAAGGCGACUCUCUGGUCUGUAACUGACGCUGAGGAGCGAAAGCGUGGGGGGCGAACAGGAUUAGAUACCCCUGUAGUCCCUGUCUCUUAUAC